UUCUGGAAUUAGGUCUCAGACUGCAACUUCGUCCUCGGCCCCAACCUUGACCCUUGUUCCUGAAUGCAGCCCCCAAAUCCCCACUCCAAAACUCAUGUGCCGCCUUAGCCUCAGAUUCCAACACCAGCUGACCCCUGGACCCAGCCCCAGUGCCUCCAUCCCUUGGUGCUUCCCCUGGGCCAGAGCCCACAAGCCCCUCGCCCAUUUUCCUUUGAACCUCAAGUGUCUGCCCAGGGGAGUCUGGCCCACCUGGGGAGGUGGGAUUUGAGUGUACAGGGAGGAGGAGGGGGGGAAGGCUUUUCAGAGGAGAAAUAGGAGCUCCCUUGCUUAAAACACGUGCAGAAUGAACCCUUUGGGACAAACUCCACACUCCGUGGCAGGGCUUACAAAACCCCUGCCACCCACAGCAGGCCAGUCAUUUGCCCCUGGCCCCUGCCCUCUCGCUGGAAUGUGCAUCGUUCAGUUAUGCAGGCUCUGCCCUGCUCUGCCCUUCCGGUUGGUUUUUGAACUCACAGUUCCCUCUCCCUGGGAUAUUUACCAUCCCCCAGCCUCAGUCUGGUUAACUCAGCUUCUUCAACAGAGAUGUCACCUCCUCCAGGAAGCCCUCCUUGAGCUCCAGACUGGUUUAGGUACCUCUUUGGGGCAUCCAUGCCCCCUACCCCACCCCGUGCUUCCCUCACCACCACUCUCACCGCAUGCGCUCUCAUGGUCCUUCUUUUCUUACCUGCCGUUACCCCCCAGACACAGGGUUCCCGGUCUUCUCUGCUCAGUCUGGCCACAGGCCGCUGGUGGCUGCCUCACUGGACGGUGCAGCUCUAGGUGACUUCUCCCUCAAGGGGAUUGUGCAGUUGCUGGAGGUACAGUGUGGAGCAAAAGAGUCCGGUCUCCGCCACCCUGAAGGGCAGCUGGAGGAUAAAGGGCUUACAGGACAGGUGCCACAGUAGGUCUUCAAUGGCUCCAGGCCCCUCGCCCCCACCCCAUGUUCCACGAAUGACAGGCGUCUGAGAGUGACAUCUUCUGGAGUAUCUGCCCCACCCUCAAUGACCAACUUCACUCUAGGGCUGAACCCCAGGAACCAGGAUUCUAUUCUGUGACCCCCUUCUGUGGGGACAGUUGAUGGGAUAGAGGUGGGCCCCAGACUCAAGCUAAGCCCUUCUGGCAGUUUAAAGUCAGACUAGCAAUCGCAUGUCAGCCUGGGGGCUUCUACUCAUGGGAUGCCAAGUGUCCCCUCGGCCAGCCGGACUCUCCAGCCGGACAGAGAGGCAAGAACAAAAGAGGGAGGGGAAGCCCAGCUAUGUCCCAGGCCUUGGUUCAAGUCCUUCUUAAGGCCUGGUGGUAUCUUUGCCCUAAGAUUCCGUGAGGGCACCUCCCCUCCCCGGACCUAAAGCCGGAUAAUAAACUUCUCCUUUUUAGCUUAAAA
Long non-coding RNA from Phacochoerus africanus (Common warthog), 1420 nucleotides. RefSeq lists it as uncharacterized. The record is from RefSeq and is a predicted model, not a curated record. NCBI's taxonomy places the organism in Eukaryota, Metazoa, Chordata, Mammalia, Artiodactyla, Suidae. The transcript has 3 exons.